RNAcentral lists this transfer RNA (65 nucleotides) under Dipodomys ordii (Ord's kangaroo rat). It matches the Rfam family "tRNA". Rfam says of the family: Transfer RNA (tRNA) molecules are approximately 80 nucleotides in length. The record is from Rfam by way of RNAcentral. Lineage: Eukaryota; Metazoa; Chordata; Mammalia; Rodentia; Heteromyidae.
GGUGGCUCAGUGGUAGAGUGCUUGCCUUGCAUGCAUGAGGCUGUUGGUUCGAUUCCUCAGCACCA